UUUGACAUGUACGGAAUUUGCCAGAGAUGGCUUAGUGCUCGAAAGAGAACCGUAACACAGGUGCUGCAUGGCUGUCGUCAGCUCGUGUCGUGAGAUGUUGGGUUAAGUCCCGCAACGAGCGCAACCCUUGUCAUUAGUUGCUACAUUUAGUUGGGCACUCUAAUGAGACUGCCGGUGACAAACCGGAGGAAGGUGGGGAUGACGUCAAGUCCUCAUGGCCCUUAUAGGUGG
Molecule: ribosomal RNA, 231 nt
Filed under: uncultured beta proteobacterium
Lineage: Bacteria; Pseudomonadati; Pseudomonadota; Betaproteobacteria
Description: partial 16S ribosomal RNA
Rfam family: Bacterial small subunit ribosomal RNA
Source: RNAcentral